RNAcentral lists this ribosomal RNA (433 nucleotides) under uncultured bacterium. Its description in RNAcentral is "bacterial SSU rRNA". It matches the Rfam family "Bacterial small subunit ribosomal RNA", at positions 29 to 507 of the family's 1533-position model. The record is from RNAcentral.
AACGAACGCUGGCGGCAGGCCUAACACAUGCAAGUCGAGCGAGGACUUCGGUCCUAGCGGCGGACGGGUGAGUAACGCGUGGGAACGUGCCCUUUGGUACGGAAUAGCCCCGGGAAACUGGGAGUAAUACCGUAUGGNGUCUUCGGACUAAAGAUUUAUCGCCAAAGGAUCGGCCCGCGUUGGAUUAGGUAGUUGGUGGGGUAAUGGCCUACCAAGCCGACGAUCCAUAGCUGGUUUGAGAGGAUGAUCAGCCACACUGGGACUGAGACACGGCCCAGACUCCUACGGGAGGCAGCAGUGGGGAAUCUUAGACAAUGGGGGCAACCCUGAUCUAGCCAUGCCGCGUGAGUGAUGAAGGCCCUAGGGUUGUAAAGCUCUUUCAGCUGGGAAGAUAAUGACGGUACCAGCAGAAGAAGCCCCGGCUAACUCCGCG